Molecule: transfer RNA, 73 nt
Filed under: Ailuropoda melanoleuca (giant panda)
Lineage: Eukaryota; Metazoa; Chordata; Mammalia; Carnivora; Ursidae
Description: tRNA-Glu
Rfam family: tRNA
About the family: Transfer RNA (tRNA) molecules are approximately 80 nucleotides in length. Their secondary structure includes four short double-helical elements and three loops (D, anti-codon, and T loops).
Source: RNAcentral
GCCUGGCUGGCUCAGUCAGUAGAGCAUGCGAUGCUCGGUCUCAAGGUCGUGGGUUCGAGCCCCAUGUUGAGCC